ACUGCUCAGUAACACGUCGAUAAUCUGCCCUAAGAUUGAGGAUACCCCACGGAAAACUGUGGCUAAUACUUAAUAUUGAAUGGAUUCUGGGACGAGCCAUUCAUUAAACGUAAGGUCUUAGGAUGAGUCGGCGGCAGAUUAGGCAGUUGGCGGUGUAACGGACCACCAAACCAAAGAUCUGUAGGGGCCCUGAGAGGGGUAGCCCCGAGAGGGACACUGAAAUACUGGUCCCAGCUCCACGGAGUGCAGCAGGCGCAAAACCUCCACAAUGCGCGAAAGCGUGAUGGGGGGAUCCUGAGUGCUUACAUAUUUUUGUAAGCUUUUGCCAAGAGUUUACAUCUUGGAGAAUAAGUGGUGGGUAAGACCGGUGCCAGCAGCCGCGGUAACCCCGGCGCCACGAGUGGCAAUCUUAUAUUGGGCCUAAAGCAUUCGUAGCCGGAUUAAUAAAUUCCUUGUGAAAUUGUCGAACUCAAUACGACAGCGUGCAGGGAACACUAUUAGUCUAGAGAUUGGGAGGAGUUAGGGGUAUGCCUGGGGGAGCGGUUAAAUGUGAUAAUCCCAGGUAGACCACCUGUGGCGAAGGCGCCUAACUAGAACAAUUCUGACGGUGAGGGAUGAAAGCUAGGGGAGCGAUCCGGAUUAGAUACCCGAGUAGUCCUAGCUGUAAACACUGCGAGCUAGGUGUCGCAUAUUCUACGAGAAUAUGCGGUG
RNAcentral lists this ribosomal RNA (711 nucleotides) under uncultured euryarchaeote. RNAcentral's name for it is "bacterial SSU rRNA". It matches the Rfam family "Archaeal small subunit ribosomal RNA", at positions 85 to 800 of the family's 1478-position model. Lineage: Archaea; Methanobacteriati; Methanobacteriota. The record is from RNAcentral.